This 253-nucleotide ribosomal RNA is filed under the name uncultured bacterium. Its description in RNAcentral is "partial 16S ribosomal RNA". It matches the Rfam family "Bacterial small subunit ribosomal RNA", at positions 524 to 776 of the family's 1533-position model. The record is from RNAcentral.
UACGUAGGGUGCGAGCGUUAAUCGGGAUUACUGGGCGUAAAGCGUGCGCAGGCGGCGCGUUAAGACAGGUGUGAAAGCCCCGAGCUUAACUUGGGAAUUGCGCUUGUGACUGGCGUGCUGGAGUGUGGCAGAGGGAGGUGGAAUUCCACGUGUAGCAGUGAAAUGCGUAGAGAUGUGGAGGAACACCGAUGGCGAAGGCAGCCUCCUGGGCCAGCACUGACGCUCAUGCACGAAAGCGUGGGGAGCAAACAGG